UACGGAGGGGGCAAGCGUUAUCCGGAAUCACUGGGUUUAAAGGGUGCGUAGGCGGCUAGAUAAGUCAGAGGUGAAAGUUUGUCGCUUAACGAUAGAACUGCCUUUGAUACUGUUAAGCUUGAAAGUAGGUGAGGUUGGCGGAAGGUGACAUGUAGCGGUGAAAUGCAUAGAUAUGUCAUAGAACACCGAUUGCGAAGGCAGCCGGCUAAACUGACUUUGACGCUGAGGCACGAAAGCGUGGGUAGCGAACAGG
Molecule: ribosomal RNA, 253 nt
Filed under: uncultured bacterium
Lineage: Bacteria
Description: partial 16S ribosomal RNA
Rfam family: Bacterial small subunit ribosomal RNA
Source: RNAcentral